UACAGGGGGUGCAAACGUUGCUCGGAAUCAUUGGGCGUAAAGCGCACGUAGGCGGUCUGUUAUGUCGGAUGUGAAAGCCCUUGGCUCAACUGGGGAAGUGCAUCCGAAACUGGCAGGCUAGAGUACGAAAGAGGAUCGCGGAAUUCCCGGUGUAGAGGUGAAAUUCGUAGAGAUCGGAAAGAACACCAACGGCGAAAGCACUCUGCUGGGCCGACACUGACACUGAGAGACGAAAGCUAGGGGAGCGAAUGGG
This 253-nucleotide ribosomal RNA is filed under the name uncultured bacterium. Its description in RNAcentral is "partial 16S ribosomal RNA". It matches the Rfam family "Bacterial small subunit ribosomal RNA", at positions 524 to 776 of the family's 1533-position model. The record is from RNAcentral.